Long non-coding RNA from Carassius carassius (crucian carp), 282 nucleotides. RefSeq lists it as uncharacterized. The record is from RefSeq and is a predicted model, not a curated record. NCBI's taxonomy places the organism in Eukaryota, Metazoa, Chordata, Actinopteri, Cypriniformes, Cyprinidae. The transcript has 2 exons.
GAGAUGAAAUUCUCUACAGACUCUAUGAUGUAAUUUUAAGUUUACCCAAAUCAGUUGUACCCUCUGAAUGCAAGUUAGAUGAAGGGUCAGUCCAAUAUAAUUCAACAACUCUUGAUCUUUGUAAAUGAAUGUUCUGCUACCCUCUUGUGGCCAUAAGUUAAUCAGAACGUGUGUUUAUUAAAUGUAUGAGCGCAUGAAAGAAUGUUUUCAAAAAUCAGCUUGAACAGCCCAGUUACAUGACUGAAAAUAUUCAUUAAAGAGAAAAACUUCAUAGAUAUUUGA